RNA transcript from Cercocebus atys (sooty mangabey), 3491 nucleotides. It is a transcript of the gene named transcription elongation factor B polypeptide 1 pseudogene, with no coding region annotated. The transcript has a single exon. The record is from RefSeq and is a predicted model, not a curated record. NCBI's taxonomy places the organism in Eukaryota, Metazoa, Chordata, Mammalia, Primates, Cercopithecidae.
GGUAAGAGAAAAGAGGAAGGAUGAUUGAAAUAAUAAAGCAUGUCAUUUAUAAAACCACCUAAUACUGUCUUCAGUAUGAGUGGAAUUUAAGUUUUAUAAAUAUUUAUAGUAUACUAGUAGUCAGCUAUCUUUCUGUAAUACCUUCAAUAAAGAUUUUUAUGUGGUUUGCGGAAUGCAUUAUCAGUACUUUGAAAAUAGUUCCUUAUAUUUCAGUGUUCUGCUUUGAAUGUGUUUUCUGAUUUUAAGACAUAGUCAUUUUAUAGGGAAUGGAAUAACAGAAAGACUAAUUUAAAAAAUGUACUCUGUACGUGUAAAGAAAAGCCCACUAUAGAUUGGUCAGAAAUAAAUGUUACCUUCGACUUCCUCUAGACGGAAGUGAGCAACACACACUGCAUCCUUGCUUCACCAGGAAACAGCUGAAGUUCCUGGGGAAGCAAAGUAGAAUUUCAUAGGAACAAAAUGAAUGGAGAGGAGAAAAGCUAUGGUGGCUGUGAAGGCCCUGAUGCCAUGUAUGUCAGAUUGAUAUCAUCCGAUGGCCAUGAAUUUGUUGUAAAAACAGGACGUACAUUAACAUCAGGCAUGAUAAAAGCCAUGUUGAGUGGCCCAGGUCAGUUUGCUGAGAAUGAAACCAAUGAGGUCAAUUUUAGAGAGAUACCUUCACAUGUGCUAUCAAAAAUAUGCAUGUAUUUUAUGUACAAGGUUCGCUACACUAACAGCUCCACCGAGAUUCCUGAAUUCCCAGUUGCACCUGAAGUUGCAAUAGAACUGCUGUUGGCUGUGAACUUCCUAGAUUGUUAAAUAAAAUAUAAUUUUAAAAAAUGAAAGAAAUGUUACUUUCAAAAAUGGUAGAGUUGAAAAGAUUAGCAUUUUUUCCUACUGUUUUCUGUCGAUUAACUUAAAUUUCUGAGGAUAAUUGAGUUGUACACAGAAAUUAUUACCAUUAGGAAACAGUGAAUUAUGUUAAAUAAGGCAAUAAUAGGAGACUAAUAAUGUAUUAUAUUAUAAACUGUUAGAAAUGUUGAAUUGGGGUGAAAUUGGGAAAGAGUAAAUCUUUUAAUAAGUAAUUAAAGAUUACUUGAAGGGACUUAAACUGGAGAUGCAAGAAAAAUUAUUUUAAGGGAUUGGUUCAUUAUUCUGCAGUUUCCCCAUGCCAGCAACCUCCCUUGUACACUUACAAGUUUGAAGAAGUUAGUGGCUAAAUGAAUGAAUUAUCAAAUUGAGUAUCAGAAAUUUCUAAAGUUUUGUUCUAUGCUUGUCAUUUAUUGGCACUUACCCCAAACAAACAAAUGGUUUUAGUUUCUCCGGAUGGAUAGCCCCUUUUGGUGUGUCAGUUUGAAGUGGAUUCUUUGGAAAAGGAGGAGAAGUAUGGCUAAUUAAAAUAAAAUUUAUCAUGUCCUAAGCUAAGCACUGUUCUGUGUGCCUUAAAUAUUCACUCAUUUAAUUUUGCAACACCCUUUGAUAAGCUCCGUACUGAUCUUAUGCCCAUUUUCAGAGGUGUAAAUAGAGACACAAAGAGAUUAAUGACUUGCUUAAGGUCACACAGCUCUCAUAUGGUGGAGCUGGAAAUUUUAACCUUGUCGCUCUGGCUCCAGAACAUAUCUCUAAAGCAUUAUGCUUUGCUGCUCCAGGAUAGGAUCUUCAAUUCAUCCAGCCUUGUUUCUGUUCUUAAGACUAGUGGUCCAGAUCUGAAUUUUUCACCUCUAUUUAGAAAAGCUGUUGUGCAGUGUUUAGGUUGGAAAGAUUUAGUUUAGCUCCAGUCCACAGUGGCUUUUACUGUCUGAGAGUGCCAGAAGUUCUCAUAAAAUAGUUAAUCUUCUGUAAGCUCUGGCAUACUUGAACUUCUCCCCACCCCCUUCCUUUAUUUUAAAAGUAACAUUUUGGGGUUUUGGUUUUUUUUUUGGUUUUGUUUAGUGUAAUAUUCAAGUAAGUAUGAAGUUUAUGAGAUUCAAUUAUGUGCUUGCUUAAAAUUUACUCUCCAUAUUAGAGAUGACAUAUGGAAAAUAUGAGUUUAUUACAAAAUACUGUAGAAUUAAUCGCCAGUUGAAUCUACUCUCUCCCAUUAUAAAGCCACUGGAGGGUUUGACAGAAAACAAGGAAGCUCCUGUUUCAUAUUUUUUAAGAGAGCUAAUUGAUUGAGCUCUUAAUUACCUAGAAGAUAAAAGACAGUGGAUCUGGCUAUUUCUUAGUUGUUUCUUGCAAUUUCUUUUUAGUAUCUCCACAAGAGGGUAGCUGGGAAAAGAACUAAACUUAAAACUCAUCAGUCUACUUCAUAAUUUUAUAGCAUUAAUGAAACGCUGGUGGUAACUCCUUUUUAACUAUGAUGAACGUAAGGUGUGGCUAAAGUUUAUGUCAGAUUUCUCUAUUAUUACAAAUAAUUGUAAACUCGCUGGAUAUAUCAUACAUGCUCAAAUUUGUAUACUUCUACUAGUUUUGAUUACUGGAAAGACUCCAGGAAUAAACAAAUAUCCCAAGUCCCCUUUUUCCUGCCUCAGAUGGGAGUGAAGAUAACGGAGAGAUUGAAUGUAAUGCUGGACAUGGUUUUAGAUACUAUCAGUGUUGAUAUCUGAACAGACUAUUGGUUUCUUUUAAAUGUGCUUAAAACACAUUUGUUAGCUUUCUGUUGUUAGCCCUGUUUGCUUACAAUCUAUUUGAGAAAAAAGAUACUACACGUUUUAACAAAUGUAUAGAUACUUCUUUGCUAUUCAGACUUGGAGAGUGAGUUUUCAAGUAAAAAUUGUUCAAGCAGAAGACAAAAGUGCUCUCUUUGUAUUAUCCAUUGAAAUUCCCAUUGAGAAUCUUAGUAAAAUAAAAUUUUCUCCUGACUUACUGAUUCAGUCCCCAAAAGAAAUUAGAUUGUCCAUGUAGUACAUUUGAUUUAUGUAUUUUGAGUGCACUACAUUGUCCCAUGUAGUAUAUUUGAUUUAUGUAUUUUGAGUGAGUGAAUGAACAAACUAAGGUUUUGGUAACUGAAAGCUUUGAAAUUUUCUUAGCUAUGAGCAAGAUUAGAAGCUCAGCCUUAAGAAGCUGGAUUCUGAAUUUAUUUUCACAGAUUCCUUAAAGAUUGCUCACUUUCCCUGGAUAUUGCUUUCUGCUUAUUAUUCUUUAAAACUUAAUUGGAAGCAAGCAGCCAAAUCAAAUCUAACGAGGCUAAGUAAGCCUAUAUUUCAAUAGCCAGUGAGAAAAUAAGGUUAAAGAUACUGAUUCAUUUCAGUGAUUUUAAGGAAUUAAAUGAUAUUUAGACAUUCGUGUCCUGAUUUUUAAAAUGAGUGAUGUUUAAGCCAUCUGAAAUUCUGAGGCAGGCAAUCACAUCUGAUAGACACGUUUUCAGCAUAGUUGAAAGUUUAUCUCUUUGUGAAUCAAAUUGUCAUACUGAAUAUAAUGUAACUACUUUUUUAUGUCUCAGGGUCAUUAUGAAAAAUGAUUUUAAUACUGUGCUUAUUGAAAUGCCCUAAAAUUUUUUGUGUUUAGAGCAUUAAAAAUGCCUGUCAAUG